UAGCGUAGGGUGCAAGCGUUUAUCCGGAAUUAUUGGGCGUAAAGAGCUCGUAGGCGGUUUGUCGCGUCUGCUGUGAAAACUGGGGGCUCAACCCCCAGCCUGCAGUGGGGUACGGGCAGACUAGAGUGCGGUAGGGGAGAUUGGAAUUCCUGGUGUAGCGGUGGAAUGCGCAGAUAUCAGGAGGAACACCGAUGGCGAAGGCAGAUCUCUGGGCCGUAACUGACGCUGAGGAGCGAAAGCGUGGGGAGCGAACAGG
Molecule: ribosomal RNA, 256 nt
Filed under: uncultured bacterium
Lineage: Bacteria
Description: partial 16S ribosomal RNA
Rfam family: Bacterial small subunit ribosomal RNA
Source: RNAcentral